GACGAACGCUGGCGGCGUGCUUAACACAUGCAAGUCGAACGGAAAGGCCCUGCUUUUGUGGGGUGCUCGAGUGGCGAACGGGUGAGUAACACGUGAGUAACCUGCCCUUGACUUUGGGAUAACUUCAGGAAACUGGGGUUAAUACCGGAUAGGAGCUCCUGCUGCAUGGUGGGGGUUGGAAAGUUUCGGCGGUUGGGGAUGGACUCGCGGCUUAUCAGCUUGUUGGUGGGGUAGUGGCUUACCAAGGCUUUGACGGGUAGCCGGCCUGAGAGGGUGACCGGCCACAUUGGGACUGAGAUACGGCCCAGACUCCUACGGGAGGCAGCAGUGGGGAAUAUUGCACAAUGGGCGGAAGCCUGAUGCAGCAACGCCGCGUGCGGGAUGACGGCCUUCGGGUGGUAAACCGCUUUCGCCUGUGACGAAGCGUGAGUGACGGGAAUGGGUAAAGAAGCACCGGCGAACUACGU
RNAcentral lists this ribosomal RNA (467 nucleotides) under uncultured bacterium. RNAcentral's name for it is "partial 16S ribosomal RNA". It matches the Rfam family "Bacterial small subunit ribosomal RNA", at positions 28 to 506 of the family's 1533-position model. The record is from RNAcentral.